AGUGAACGCUGGCGGUAGGCCUAACACAUGCAAGUCGAACGGCAGCACAGUAAGUGCUUGCUCUUACGGGUGGCGAGUGGCGGACGGGUCACGUAUACAUCGGAAUCUACUUUUUAGUGGGGGCUAACGCAGGGAAACUUACGCUAAUACCGCAUACGACCUACGGGGGAAAGCAGGGGAUCUUCGGACCUUGCGCGAUUGUAUGAGCCGAUGUCGGAUUAGCUAGUUGGCGGGGUAAAGGCCCACCAAGGCGACGAUCCGUAGCUGGUCUGAGAGGAUGGUCAGCCACACUGGAAGUGAGACACGGUCCAGACUCCUACGGGAGGCAGCAGUGGGGAAUAUUGGACAAUGGGGGCGAGGCUGAUCCAGCCAUACCGCGUGGGUGAAGAAGGCCUUCGGGUUGGAAAGCCCUUUUGUUUGGAAAGAAAAGCAGCAGGUUAAUACCCCGCUGUUCUGACGGUACCCAAAGAAUAAGCACCGGCUAACUUCGUG
RNAcentral lists this ribosomal RNA (492 nucleotides) under uncultured bacterium. RNAcentral's name for it is "partial 16S ribosomal RNA". It matches the Rfam family "Bacterial small subunit ribosomal RNA", at positions 29 to 507 of the family's 1533-position model. The record is from RNAcentral.